Molecule: ribosomal RNA, 500 nt
Filed under: uncultured bacterium
Lineage: Bacteria
Description: partial 16S ribosomal RNA
Rfam family: Bacterial small subunit ribosomal RNA
Source: RNAcentral
AUUGAACGCUGGCGGCAUGCUUUACACAUGCAAGUCGAACGGCAGCACGGGUGCUUGCACCUGGUGGCGAGUGGCGAACGGGUGAGUAAUACAUCGGAACGUACCUUAUCGUGGGGGAUAACGCAGCGAAAGCUGUGCUAAUACCGCAUACGCCCUGAGGGGGAAAGCGGGGGAUCGAAAGACCUCGCGCGAUUAGAGCGGCCGAUGCCUGAUGAGCUUGUGGGUGGGGUAAAAGCCCACCAAGGCGACGAUCAGUAGCUGGUCUGAGAGGACGAUCAGCCACACUGGGACUGAGACACGGCCAGACUCCUACGGGAGGCAGCAGUGGGGAAUUUUGGACAAUGGGGGCAACCCUGAUCCAGCAAUGCCGCGUGAGUGAAGAAGGCCUUCGGGUUGUAAAGCUCUUUUGUCAGGGAAGAAACACCGGCUCUAACACAGUCCGGGAAUGACGGUACCUGAAGAAUAAGCACCGGCUAACUACGUGCCAGCAGCCGCAGUAA